CUCCACCUGCGGGGAGCGAGUAGUUCUCUAAUUCCUUAGAACCUAAAUUACAUAUAGGGGAUUGGUUUGCGAUACCGGUGUGCAUGUCUGGAUAGAUCUAACCAGAAAGCCUGAAAGUAUUGCACUAGUCUCCACUUGGAUCUAACGGUUCAAGGCAACCAGGAUUGCACGACAUCAGCGGGUGGUAG
Molecule: non-coding RNA, 188 nt
Filed under: Acidiferrobacteraceae bacterium
Lineage: Bacteria; Pseudomonadati; Pseudomonadota; Gammaproteobacteria; Acidiferrobacterales; Acidiferrobacteraceae
Description: 6S RNA
Rfam family: 6S / SsrS RNA
About the family: E. coli 6S RNA was the first non coding RNA to be sequenced, but its function was unknown until recently. It consists of 184 nucleotides that fold into an extended hairpin structure with a large single-stranded internal bulge.
Source: RNAcentral